This 73-nucleotide transfer RNA is filed under the name Hydrogenispora ethanolica. RNAcentral's name for it is "Firmicutes bacterium LX-B tRNA". It matches the Rfam family "tRNA". Rfam says of the family: Transfer RNA (tRNA) molecules are approximately 80 nucleotides in length. Their secondary structure includes four short double-helical elements and three loops (D, anti-codon, and T loops). Lineage: Bacteria; Bacillati; Bacillota. The record is from Rfam by way of RNAcentral.
GGACCACUAGCUCAGUUGGUAGAGCAGCUGACUCUUAAUCAGCGGGCCAUAGGUUCGAGUCCUAUGUGGUCCA